RNAcentral lists this ribosomal RNA (271 nucleotides) under uncultured archaeon. RNAcentral's name for it is "partial 16S ribosomal RNA". It matches the Rfam family "Archaeal small subunit ribosomal RNA", at positions 477 to 747 of the family's 1478-position model. The record is from RNAcentral.
CAGCGCCACGAGUGGCAACCGCUUUUAUUGGGCCUAAAGCGUCCGUAGCCGGUUUGAUAAAUUCCUUGUGAAAUCGCUGCGCUCAACGUAGCGGAUGGCGGGGAACACUGUCAGACUAGGGACCGGGAGGAGUCAGAGGUAUUCUGGGGGGAACGGUAAAAUGUGAUAAUCCUCGGAGGACCACCUGUGGCGAAGGCGUCUGACCAGAACGGAUCCGACGGUGAGGGACGAAAGCCAGGGGAGCAAACCGGAUUAGAUACCCGAGUAGUCC